RNAcentral lists this transfer RNA (68 nucleotides) under Rhyticeros undulatus (Wreathed hornbill). RNAcentral describes it as "tRNA-Ser". Lineage: Eukaryota; Metazoa; Chordata; Aves; Bucerotiformes; Bucerotidae. The record is from RNAcentral.
GAGGGGGAGGUCUAAACCAACGAGAACUGCUAAUUCUCGCACCUGAGCGUAAAACCUCAGCCCCCUUA